AAAAAAAGAGAAGAGAAGAGAAACAUAGGCUAGAAACAAGGAAAGAGCUACGAUUUUGGGAGGAGAAAAAGGCAGCCCAAAACGUUACCAAACAGUCCCUAAGUUUCAGCUGCGCUAAAGGAAAUUCCGAGGCAAGUUUUGGCGGGUUUUGGUGAAUUUCGGGAAAGGUUCAAGAGACGACGAGGCGAGCAUAGUUAAGAGUAAUCCGUAAGAGGUACAGAUGAUUGGUUUGCUGAUCCGCUCGCUUAGGACAUCCACCAUGUUGGUCGACAG
This is a long non-coding RNA of Solanum dulcamara, 273 nucleotides long. RefSeq lists it as uncharacterized. The record is from RefSeq and is a predicted model, not a curated record. The transcript has 4 exons. NCBI's taxonomy places the organism in Eukaryota, Viridiplantae, Streptophyta, Magnoliopsida, Solanales, Solanaceae.